This 21-nucleotide non-coding RNA is filed under the name Caenorhabditis elegans. Lineage: Eukaryota; Metazoa; Nematoda; Chromadorea; Rhabditida; Rhabditidae. The record is from RNAcentral.
UUUUGAAAACAAGUAAGUGUU